ACAGAGGGUGCGAGCGUUGUCCGGAAUCACUGGGCGUAAAGGGCGCGUAGGCGGCCGGGUAAGUAGGGGGUGAAAUCCCACAGCUCAACUGUGGGGCUGCCUUCUAGACUGCUUGGCUCGAGCACGGUAGAGGCUGGUGGAAUUCCCGGUGUAGCGGUGGAAUGCGUAGAGAUCGGGAAGAACAUCGGUGGCGAAGGCGGCCAGCUGGGCCGUUGCUGACGCUGAUGCGCGAAAGCGUGGGGAGCAAACAGGA
RNAcentral lists this ribosomal RNA (253 nucleotides) under uncultured prokaryote. Its description in RNAcentral is "partial 16S ribosomal RNA". It matches the Rfam family "Bacterial small subunit ribosomal RNA", at positions 525 to 777 of the family's 1533-position model. The record is from RNAcentral.